Long non-coding RNA from Xenopus laevis (African clawed frog), 1770 nucleotides. RefSeq lists it as uncharacterized. Lineage: Eukaryota; Metazoa; Chordata; Amphibia; Anura; Pipidae. The record is from RefSeq and is a predicted model, not a curated record. The transcript is spliced from 2 exons.
UCCAAAUUAUGGAAAGAUUCGUUAUCCGGAAAGCCUCAUGUCCCGCACAUUCUGGAUAACAGGUCCCAUGCCUGUACUCUUUGUUCUGACACAGUGCAGUUAUAGGUAUUGUCUACAUUUUCUAGCUGCCCUCACUCCAUGGACAAUCUCCGUAUAUGAUCAGGUUAUGAAAGAAUACAACAAGGAAGCGAGCAGAAAGAUGCUGCUAGAGACACCUACUAUACGGAGCAGAUCUGUAAGCAGGGACAGGCAGAUGUCAUCCUUGUCAUUGCUUACUGACAAUGGGGUGGUUCAUCAUUGUAUUCACUUUUUUGUCACUUGCAAAAACAAAUUGUGUGAUCUUCAUACUACUUUUGAAUACACUGCAUCUUUGAAUUAAAGCAAUUUGAGGGAUGCUGUGUUCUUUUAAAUUAAAACAUUACUGAUGUGUGGGCCGGCCCGAUACCCACAGGACCUCGCUCCCCCAUUUGCGGGUUGCGGGCCUGCUCUCCCCGCCCGCGACCUUACACUGCCGACUUCCGGUUUUAUCGCCACAGGUCUAUAAAAGGAAGGCGGGAGUGGAUCAGGGGCGCGUGGGUUAGGAUCGGUGUGGGUCGAGUUUUUCUCAACCCUGACAUCACUAAAUCACAUGGUUGUAUUGAUGCACCGAAUCCUGGAUUUUGUUUGUGAUUCAGGCAACUUCAAGCAUUUUUCAGCAGGAUCUGGGGUUGGCCAAUCCAAGCACCAGACUGAACCAACGGAACCCUUAAAAUCACAUGAUAAACGGUAUUUUUUUGCCAUGUGCAGACUUUCUAUACCCCUUCUGUUUCCUAAUUUGCCCCCCUAACUGUUAGAGAAGGAGGAGGCUCUGAUUAGACAGUAAGGAAAUCUGUGCAAUGGUUUAAAAAUUAAAUCUUAUGCCUGCGGUAGUGAAAAGAGUUAGGCACCCCUUGGUGUCAGGUUAGAUGAAAUGCAUCUUCUAAAAAUAAAUAUGCAUUUAUUACAAAACUUGGCACGGACGUUUAGUUUUCAGUGGCACUUUGUGUUCAAGAGGCUUGCGACCCUGGCAAUCGCCAUCUCAUCCCUGCCCUAAAUCCAGCUCUAUAUAUUUGUUUAUUAGAUACAGUAUUUCAUUUAGGGACCUAUGUUACAUUUGUGAACUAUCGCCCUUGGUAGUUGCCAGUCCUUUAUCUAGUCAAAGUUUUUCUCCUUUAUUAUCACUGUAAGAUAUCAGUAUGGGACAUUUUUGUAAUGCAAUGCACAUUGUACAUUUUUUAUUUGUCACAAAGCCAUUGUUGGAGUAGAGGAAUAAAGUUCAAGUCUGACUUUAAUAAUCAUCAUAGUUGACUCCAGCUCCAUGCCUGUAGGUAUAUGGGUUGCGUGGCCCAAUAGGAGCAUCUUCAUCAUAGUGAUGCUGGUGGAAUCCCCCAUAGUAUUCACUGCCUCCACGUCCCUGACUCAUCCAGUAAACCAAAUCAUCUUCAUAUUUCUGUUAAGUGAAAAUACCAUGUUUACAAGCAUUGCUAGAAAAGUAAAUUAAAUGUUUCUAUUUUAAUGCAAGUAGUAGAGUGUUGUACUUGUUAGCCAGAGUUUUUUAAAAAAAAAUGUGGGAACUUAUUGUUUAUUGGCUAACGUAUAUGUGAGAAUGCAAGCUUUUGAGGAGAAAUUAAAUUUCUUCAUCAGACAUUUUUAUCACAAGAGACAUAAGUUUAACUAAAAAAAAAUGUAAUUCUUGUAUAUAUAUAUAUCAGGUUGCCAAUAAAUGACAUUGCAUUUCUUGUUUUGAUGUAA